This 489-nucleotide ribosomal RNA is filed under the name uncultured bacterium. Its description in RNAcentral is "bacterial SSU rRNA". It matches the Rfam family "Bacterial small subunit ribosomal RNA", at positions 28 to 507 of the family's 1533-position model. The record is from RNAcentral.
GAUGAACGCUAGCUACAGGCUUAACACAUGCAAGUCGAGGGGCGAGCACAGUGUAGCAAUACACGGGUGGCGACCGGCGCACGGGUGCGUAACGCGUAUCCAACCUUCCCGUUACUCAGGGAUAGCCUUCCGAAAGGGAGAUUAAUACCUGAUGGUGUUCAAAUUCCGCAUGUUAUUUGAACUAAAGAUUUAUCGGUAUCGGAUGGGGAUGCGUGACAUUAGCUUGUUGGCGGGGUAACGGCCCACCAAGGCAACGAUCGGUAGGGGUUCUGAGAGGAAGGUCCCCCACAUUGGAACUGAGACACGGUCCAAACUCCUACGGGAGGCAGCAGUGAGGAAUAUUGGUCAAUGGGCGGAAGCCUGAACCAGCCAAGUAGCGUGCAGGAUGACGGCCCUACGGGUUGGUAAACUGCUUUUUUGUCGGGAAUAAAGUGGCUCACGCGUGGGCCUUUGCAUGUACCGCACGAAUAAGGACCGGCUAAUUCCGUG